RNAcentral lists this ribosomal RNA (427 nucleotides) under uncultured Verrucomicrobiota bacterium. RNAcentral describes it as "uncultured Verrucomicrobia bacterium partial 16S ribosomal RNA". It matches the Rfam family "Bacterial small subunit ribosomal RNA", at positions 355 to 774 of the family's 1533-position model. Lineage: Bacteria; Pseudomonadati; Verrucomicrobiota. The record is from RNAcentral.
UCGAGGAUCAUUCGCAAUGGGGGAAACCCUGACGAUGCGACGCUGCGUGGAGGAUGAAGGCCCUCGGGUUGUAAACUCCUGUCAUGGGGGAAGAGGCGAGGGGCGCUAACACCGCCCCGAGUUGACGGUACCCCAAGAGGAAGCCACGGCUAACUCUGUGCCAGCAGCCGCGGUAAUACAGAGGUGGCGAGCGUUGUUCGGAUUUACUGGGCGUAAAGGGCGCGUAGGCGGCAAGGUAUGUGUGAUGUGAAAUCUCCGGGCUCAACCCGGAAAGUGCGUCGCAAACUGCCAUGCUCGAGUGUGGGAGGGGGGAUCGGAAUGCAGGGUGUAGCGGUGAAAUGCGUUGAUAUCCUGCAGAACACCGGUGGCGAAGGCGGAUCCCUGGGACACUACUGACGCUGAGGCGCGAAAGCAGGGGGAGCAAACA